GCCUAAUACAUGCAAGUCGAACGAACUCUGGUAUUGAUUGGUGCUUGCAUCAUGAUUUACAUUUGAGUGAGUGGCGAACUGGUGAGUAACACGUGGGAAACCUGCCCAGAAGCGGGGGAUAACACCUGGAAACAGAUGCUAAUACCGCAUAACAACUUGGACCGCAUGGUCCGAGCUUGAAAGAUGGCUUCGGCUAUCACUUUUGGAUGGUCCCGCGGCGUAUUAGCUAGAUGGUGGGGUAACGGCUCACCAUGGCAAUGAUACGUAGCCGACCUGAGAGGGUAAUCGGCCACAUUGGGACUGAGACACGGCCCAAACUCCUACGGGAGGCAGCAGUAGGGAAUCUUCCACAAUGGACGAAAGUCUGAUGGAGCAACGCCGCGUGAGUGAAGAAGGGUUUCGGCUCGUAAAACUCUGUUGUUAAAGAAGAACAUAUCUGAGAGUAACUGUUCAGGUAUUGACGGUAUUUAACCAGAAAGCCACGGCUAACUACGUGCCAGCAGCCGCGGUAAUACGUAGGUGGCAAGCGUUGUCCGGAUUUAUUGGGCGUAAAGCGAGCGCAGGCGGUUUUUUAAGUCUGAUGUGAAAGCCUUCGGCUCAACCGAAGAAGUGCAUCGGAAACUGGGAAACUUGAGUGCAGAAGAGGACAGUGGAACUCCAUGUGUAGCGGUGAAAUGCGUAGAUAUAUGGAAGAACACCAGUGGCGAAGGCGGCUGUCUGGUCUGUAACUGACGCUGAGGCUCGAAAGUAUGGGUAGCAAACAGGAUUAGAUACCCUGGUAGUCCAUACCGUAAACGAUGAAUGCUAAGUGUUGGAGGGUUUCCGCCCUUCAGUGCUGCAGCUAACGCAUUAAGCAUUCCGCCUGGGGAGUACGGCCGCAAGGCUGAAACUCAAAGGAAUUGACGGGGGCCCGCACAAGCGGUGGAGCAUGUGGUUUAAUUCGAAGCUACGCGAAGAACCUUACCAGGUCUUGACAUACUAUGCAAAUCUAAGAGAUUAGACGUUCCCUUCGGGGACAUGGAUACAGGUGGUGCAUGGUUGUCGUCAGCUCGUGUCGUGAGAUGUUGGGUUAAGUCCCGCAACGAGCGCAACCCUUAUUAUCAGUUGCCAGCAUUAAGUUGGGCACUCUGGUGAGACUGCCGGUGACAAACCGGAGGAAGGUGGGGAUGACGUCAAAUCAUCAUGCCCCUUAUGACCUGGGCUACACACGUGCUACAAUGGAUGGUACAACGAGUUGCGAACUCGCGAGAGUAAGCUAAUCUCUUAAAGCCAUUCUCAGUUCGGAUUGUAGGCUGCAACUCGCCUACAUGAAGUCGGAAUCGCUAGUAAUCGCGGAUCAGCAUGCCGCGGUGAAUACGUUCCCGGGCCUUGUACACACCGCCCGUCACACCAUGAGAGUUUGUAACACCCAAAGUCGGUGGGGUAACCUUUUAGGAACCAGCCGCCUAAGG
Molecule: ribosomal RNA, 1451 nt
Filed under: Lactiplantibacillus plantarum
Lineage: Bacteria; Bacillati; Bacillota; Bacilli; Lactobacillales; Lactobacillaceae
Description: bacterial SSU rRNA
Rfam family: Bacterial small subunit ribosomal RNA
Source: RNAcentral